AGUUCCAUAGCUUAGCGGUUAGAGCACUGGCCUUAUAAGCCAGGGGUUAAUGAGUUCAAGUCUCACUGUGGCCU
Molecule: transfer RNA, 74 nt
Filed under: Chelonia mydas (Green sea turtle)
Lineage: Eukaryota; Metazoa; Chordata; Testudines; Cheloniidae
Rfam family: tRNA
About the family: Transfer RNA (tRNA) molecules are approximately 80 nucleotides in length. Their secondary structure includes four short double-helical elements and three loops (D, anti-codon, and T loops). Further hydrogen bonds mediate the characteristic L-shaped molecular structure. tRNAs have two regions of fundamental functional importance: the anti-codon, which is responsible for specific mRNA codon recognition, and the 3' end, to which the tRNAs corresponding amino acid is attached (by aminoacyl-tRNA synthetases). tRNAs cope with the degeneracy of the genetic code in two manners: having more than one tRNA (with a specific anti-codon) for a particular amino acid; and 'wobble' base-pairing, i.e. permitting non-standard base-pairing at the 3rd anti-codon position.
Source: Rfam by way of RNAcentral